CUAGGAAUCUUGCGCAAUGGGCGAAAGCCUGACGCAGCAAUUCCGCGUGGGGGACGAAGGCCCUCGGGUCGUAAACCCCUUUUGUGAGGGAAGAAGUUCUGACGGUACCUCACGAAUAAGACACGGCUAACUACGUGCCAGCAGCCGCGGUAAUACGUAGGUGUCGAGCGUUGUCCGGAUUUAUUGGGCGUAAAGAGCCCGCAGGCGGCUUGGUAAGUUCGAGGUGAAAUCUCCCGGCUCAACUGGGAGGGUGCCUCGAAAACUAUCAGGCUUGAGGCAGGGAGAGGGAUGUGGAAUUCCCGGUGUAGUGGUGAAAUGCGUAGAUAUCGGGAGGAACACCAGUGGCGAAGGCGGCAUCCUGGCCCUGUCCUGACGCUCAGGGGCGAAAGCGUGGGGAGCAAACC
Molecule: ribosomal RNA, 404 nt
Filed under: uncultured bacterium
Lineage: Bacteria
Description: bacterial SSU rRNA
Rfam family: Bacterial small subunit ribosomal RNA
Source: RNAcentral